Molecule: transfer RNA, 81 nt
Filed under: Candidatus Pacearchaeota archaeon
Lineage: Archaea; Nanobdellati
Description: tRNA-Ser
Rfam family: tRNA
About the family: Transfer RNA (tRNA) molecules are approximately 80 nucleotides in length. Their secondary structure includes four short double-helical elements and three loops (D, anti-codon, and T loops).
Source: RNAcentral
GCCACCAUCGCAUAAUGGUAUUGCACCGCGUUGCUAACGCGGGCCCUUCGGGGCUCCCCGGUUCGAUUCCGGGUGGUGGCG